Molecule: ribosomal RNA, 497 nt
Filed under: uncultured bacterium
Lineage: Bacteria
Description: partial 16S ribosomal RNA
Rfam family: Bacterial small subunit ribosomal RNA
Source: RNAcentral
GACGAACGCUGGCGGCGUGCCUAAUACAUGCAAGUUGAGCGAUGAAGAUUGGUGCUUGCACCAAUUUGAAGAGCAGCGAACGGGUGAGUAACGCGUGGGGAAUCUGCCUUUGAGCGGGGGACAACAUUUGGAAACGAAUGCUAAUACCGCAUAACAACUUUAAACAUAAGUUUUAAGUUUGAAAGGUGCAAUUGCAUCACUCAAAGAUGAUCCCGCGUUGUAUUAGCUAGUUGGUGAGGUAAAGGCUCACCAAGGCGAUGAUACAUAGCCGACCUGAGAGGGUGAUCGGCCACAUUGGGACUGAGACACGGCCCAAACUCCUACGGGAGGCAGCAGUAGGGAAUCUUCGGCAAUGGACGAAAGUCUGACCGAGCAACGCCGCGGGAGUGAAGAAGGUUUUCGGAUCGUAAAACUCUGUUGGUAGAGAAGAACGUUGGUGAGAGUGGAAAGCUCAUCAAGUGACGGUAACUACCCAGAAAGGGACGGCUAACUACGUG